ACCGCAUAGUUUCAGUUUCCGCAUGGAAGCCGAAGGAAAGACGGCCUUUGUGCUGUCACUUGGAGAUGGACCCGCGGCGCAUUUAGUUAGUUGGUAGGGUAACGGCCUACCAAGACGAUGAUGCGUAGCCGACCUGAGAGGGUGAUCGGCCACAUUGGGACUGAGACACGGCCCAAACUCCUACGGGAGGCAGCAGUAGGGAAUCUUCCGCAAUGGACGAAAGUCUGACGGAGCAACGCCGCGUGAGUGAAGAAGGUUUUCGGAUCGUAAAACUCUGUUGUUGGAGAAGAACAAGUAGGAGAGUAACUGCUCUUACCUUGACGGUACCCAACCAGAAAGCCACGGCUAACUACGUGCCAGCAGCCGCGGUAAUACGUAGGUGGCAAGCGUUGUCCGGAUUUAUUGGGCGUAAAGCGAGCGCAGGCGGUUCCUUAAGUCUGAUGUGAAAGCCCACGGCUCAACCGUGGAAGGUCAUUGGAAACUGGGGAACUUGAAUACAGAAGAGGAGAGUGGAAUUCCAUGUGUAGCGGUGAAAUGCGUAGAUAUAUGGAGGAACACCAGUGGCGAAGGCGGCCUUCUGGCCUUGACCUGACGCUGAGGAGCGAAAGCCAGGGUAGCGAACGGGAUUAGAUACCCCGGUAGUCCUGGCCGUAAACGAUGGACACUAGGUGUAGGUGGUUUCAAAACCAUCUGUACCGCAGCUAACGCAUUAAGUGUCCCGCCUGGGGAGUACGGUCGCAAGGCUGAAACUCAAAUGAAUUGACGG
RNAcentral lists this ribosomal RNA (766 nucleotides) under uncultured bacterium. RNAcentral's name for it is "bacterial SSU rRNA". It matches the Rfam family "Bacterial small subunit ribosomal RNA", at positions 168 to 916 of the family's 1533-position model. The record is from RNAcentral.